UCCGUAGGUGAACCUGCGGAGGGAUCAUUACAGAGUUGCAAAACUCCCACAAACCAUCGCGAAUCUUACCCGUACGGUUGCCUCGGCGCUGGCGGUCCGGAAAGGCCCUCGGGUCCUCCCGGAUCCUCGGGUCUCCCGCUCGCGGGAGGCUGCCCGCCGGAGUGCCGAAACUAAACUCUUGAUAUUUUAUGUCUCUCUGAGUAAACUUUUAAAUAAGUCAAAACUUUCAACAACGGAUCUCUUGGUUCUGGCAUCGAUGAAGAACGCAGCGAAAUGCGAUAAGUAAUGUGAAUUGCAGAAUUCAGUGAAUCAUCGAAUCUUUGAACGCACAUUGCGCUCGCCAGUAUUCUGGCGAGCAUGCCUGUUCGAGCGUCAUUUCAACCAUCAAGCUCUGCUUGCGUUGGGGAUCCGCGGCUGCCCGCGGUCCCUCAAAAUCAGUGGCGGGCUCGCUAGUCACACCGAGCGUAGUAACUCUACAUCGCUAUGGUCGUGCGGCGGGUUCUUGCCGUAAAACCCCCCAUUUCUAAGGUUGACCUCGGAUCAGGUAGUAAUACCCGCUGAACUUAAGCAUAUCAAUAAGCGGAGGAA
This 588-nucleotide ribosomal RNA is filed under the name uncultured fungus. RNAcentral describes it as "eukaryotic LSU rRNA". The stretch from base 222 to 375 matches the Rfam family "5.8S ribosomal RNA". The record is from RNAcentral. Lineage: Eukaryota; Fungi.